GAUGAAGAACGUAGUAAAAUGCGAUAAGUAAUGUGAAUUGCAGAAUUCAGUGAAUCAUCGAAUCUUUGAACGCACAUUGCGCCCGCCAGUAUUCUGGCGGGCAUGCCUGUUCGAGCGUCAUUUCAACCCUCAAGCUCAGCUUGGUGUUGGGACUCGCGGUAACCCGCGUUCCCCAAAUCGAUUGGCGGUCACGUCGAGCUUCCAUAGCGUAGUAAUCAUACACCUCGUUACUGGUAAUCGUCGCGGCCACGCCGUAAAACCCCAACUUCUGAAUGUUGACCUCGGAUCAGGUAGGAACACCCGCUGAACUUAAGCAUAUCAAUAAGCGGAGGA
Molecule: unclassified non-coding RNA, 333 nt
Filed under: soil metagenome
Description: partial contains 5.8S ribosomal RNA, internal transcribed spacer 2, and large subunit ribosomal RNA
Rfam family: 5.8S ribosomal RNA (bases 1-120)
Source: RNAcentral